Molecule: ribosomal RNA, 316 nt
Filed under: uncultured bacterium
Lineage: Bacteria
Description: bacterial SSU rRNA
Rfam family: Bacterial small subunit ribosomal RNA
Source: RNAcentral
GACGAACGUUGGCGGCGUGCCUAAUACAUGCAAGUAGAACGCUGAGGACUGGUGCUUGCACCGGCUCAAGGAGUUGCGAACGGGUGAGUAACGCGUAGGUAACCUACCUCAUAGCGGGGGAUAACUAUUGGAAACGAUAGCUAAUACCGCAUGACAAUGGAGGACCCAUGUCUUUCAUUUAAAAGGUGCAACUGCAUCACUAUGAGAUGGACCUGCGUUGUAUUAGCUAGUUGGUAAGGUAACGGCUUACCAAGGCGACGAUGCAUAGCCGAGUUGAGAGACUGAUCGGCCACAUUGGGACUGAGACACGGCCCAA